This 463-nucleotide ribosomal RNA is filed under the name uncultured bacterium. RNAcentral describes it as "partial 16S ribosomal RNA". It matches the Rfam family "Bacterial small subunit ribosomal RNA", at positions 28 to 507 of the family's 1533-position model. The record is from RNAcentral.
GAUGAACGCUGACAGAAUGCUUAACACAUGCAAGUCUUUGGCGAAGCUGUGCUUGCACAGCCUAGCCAAGGCGGACGGGUGCGUAACGCGUAAGGAACUUGCCCUGCAGUCAGGGAUAACAGACGGAAACGACUGAUAAGACCUGGUAAAGUCAGGCGGACUCAUGUCCAGCCUGAUGAAAAGAGAUGCUGCAGGAGAGCCUUGCGUCCUAUUAGCUUGUUGGUGGGGUAACGGCCCACCAAGGCGAUGAUAGGUAGCCGGCCUGAGAGGGUGGACGGCCACAAGGGGACUGAGAUACGGCCCUGACUCCUACGGGAGGCAGCAGUGGGGAAUAUUGGACAAUGGGGGCAACCCUGAUCCAGCAAUUCUGUGUGCACGAUGAAGGUUUUCGGAUUGUAAAGUGCUUUCAGCAGGGAAGAAAAAAAUGACGGUACCUGCAGAAGAAGCGACGGCUAAAUACGUG